Long non-coding RNA from Oncorhynchus tshawytscha (Chinook salmon), 387 nucleotides. The record is from Ensembl. Lineage: Eukaryota; Metazoa; Chordata; Actinopteri; Salmoniformes; Salmonidae.
GGUUUAGUGGAGGUUUGGUGGAGAUUUAGUGGAGGUUUAGUGGAGGUUUAGUGGAGGUUUAGUGGAGGUUUAGUGGGGAUUUAGUGGAGGUUUAGUGGAGGUUUAGUGGAGGUUUAGUGGAGGUUUAGUAUAGGUUUAGUGGAGAUUUAGUGGAGGUUUAGUGGAGGUUUAGUGGAGGUUUAGUGGAGAUUUAGUGGAGGUUUUGUGGAGGUUUAGUGGAGGUUUAGUGGAGGUUCAGUGGAGGUUUAGUGGAGGUUUAGUGGAGGUUUAGUGGAGGUUUAGUGGAGAUUGAAAGACAGUGGAGAUUUAGUGGAGGUUUAGUGGAGGUUUAGUGGAGGUUCAGUGGAGGUUUAGUGGAGGUUUAGUGGAGGUUUAGUUGAAGUUUAG